CAGUAGCCACGGGAAUACAGAGGGUGCGAGCGUUAAUCGGAUUUACUGGGCGUAAAGCGUGCGUAGGCGGCUUUUUAAGUCGGAUGUGAAAUCCCUGAGCUUAACUUAGGAAUUGCAUUCGAUACUGGGAAGCUAGAGUAUGGGAGAGGAUGGUAGAAUUCCAGGUGUAGCGGUGAAAUGCGUAGAGAUCUGGAGGAAUACCGAUGGCGAAGGCAGCCAUCUGGCCUAAUACUGACGCUGAGGUACGAAAGCAUGGGGAGCAAACAGGAUUAGAGACCCGCGUAGUCCCUGUCUCUUAUAC
Molecule: ribosomal RNA, 301 nt
Filed under: uncultured bacterium
Lineage: Bacteria
Description: partial 16S ribosomal RNA
Rfam family: Bacterial small subunit ribosomal RNA
Source: RNAcentral